Long non-coding RNA from Branchiostoma floridae (Florida lancelet), 3017 nucleotides. RefSeq lists it as uncharacterized. Lineage: Eukaryota; Metazoa; Chordata; Leptocardii; Amphioxiformes; Branchiostomatidae. The record is from RefSeq and is a predicted model, not a curated record. The transcript is spliced from 3 exons.
ACAGAAAGCCGCUUUCGGUAUCAAAACCCUCAUCCAGACUGCGUUAUUCCCUAAGGCCCUACUUAAACACGAUAAUGCAUAUAUCAAGUCUAUAAUGUUAUACUAGUAUUCUGUUGAGAUCUGAGGCAAAGAGCACUCCAAUGACAAUUGCCCUGUUGAAAUAUUAACAUAUAGAACCGCUUUUGUAAAAACACCGAUCCUUAGUGCACACAGAAAUUAGUGUAACCUAGCUAGUAGGGCAAAUUUAUUAAAACUCGGGAUAUUCCAAAUAGAUAUGGAUGUAUCAGUGUUCUUGUACCUAAGUAUUGACUGAGGCUGAAGCAACUGGACAUCCACACACAUCCCUUACAGGUGAACGUUUUACUGUGUCAACAAUACAAAAUGGGAAAUAAUUGCAAGAAGAGCUGGUUACACCAACUUUCAUGAUAUUCCUUCUUAUGUAAUUUUCCAUCGAAUAUAUAUUUGGAUUUGAAACCUUUGUAGCAAUAUAUGUACAUUGUUAAUUAAAGAGAGGAUAUGUACGUCAAACAUUCUUUUACAAAUCGUCUACAAAUCAUGGUAAGCCAAUAUGCUACAAAGGUUUCAAAUCCAAAUAUAUAUUCGAUGGAAAAUUACCUGAGUUCGAAUAAAGAUCCGCCAUAUCUAAGAUAAGAAUAAGCGCUUAUCCAUUAGAGAUAGAAAGAGGUCGUUAUAAGAAGCUAUUUGUCCACGUUAGACUGUUUAAGUAUUGCAUACUGAAUGCAGUGGAAAAUGUCUUCACGACGAGACCGAAAGAAAGUUUAUUUCAAACUGUUGCCACAAUUUGUCCGAGCGUUUCCUAAUUGUAGAUCACCAAAAGUCUACGUUUCAUUAAAAUCACAAACCCCACCUAUUUCACAGAACACGGGACAGUUUAUAUAUAUAAAAGAUAGAGGAAGUCAAACCAAAUGACAGUUAGAUGAUUGACAGGAAGCGUGUGAACCUGACACCUUGCUAUUUUGCCGGUUAAUUGAAAACGUGACAAACCCUGAUUUCUCUGAUGACCCCGAUAACCCGAUGACCCCGGGGCAGAGAAAGCUGACACGGUCUGACGCAACGUCUGGUGGAUUCCCACGGCCAUAGUAUCUCAUUUCUGUUCCUUUUCAUUAACGGUAAUGUCUCCCUUCGAUGUGUCCGUUGUUUCCGAAGACAGACUUGGAAAUGCACUGGAAUUACUGAUUGUUGGCUACCUGCAUACGGCGGUGGCGACAUCCUCGGCGCAACCAAGGGCUUCAUCAUUUUGGAUAACACAAAGGCAUCCUUCCGUACGUUGCCCACAUCAUGCAGACCAACGCCAACAAUUUCUUGUACGACGUAUCAAGACGUUCCCGCCACCCCACCACCUCCGAGGAGCUUGUUGUAAUGCUGGACAUCGCUGGAUUUGCGACAACAACAACACAAGGAACCAUGUGACCUAUUUAGCACCGAGCUCCCCCUUUUCCGCUAUGGAAUAACCCAUGGUCGCUGGCCAAUGAGCUGCCUAGUAUUCAUAUUGCGUAAUGCAGAUGCAACGUAAACCAAGCUGAUUACGAGCACAGCAGUCAUUUCGCUGCCAGGCAGAGAGGAGACAACACGGGUUUGGGACCGGUCUCUGAUGAUUAAUAACGACUGCCCCCACGCACUGCACUUCGGGGCUCAUCAUAAAGAUGUCUAAGAAGUACAACUAUAAUACUUGCAGUGAAAAGGAAACAUCUCAUCAACAUGGACUUAUUGUUCUUUUCCUUAUCACUUUUAUUCUUCUUAUUCUUAUUCAAAAGCGAAUCAACAUAUUCGAAUAUUUUGAAUAUUUUGUUGGGCUUAAUAAGUGUUCAGGUACAGGUUGAUAUGUGUGUGUCUCUCUGAUCUCUCGAUCUCAGCACAGGUCGGGCAAGAGAGAUCCACACGAACUCCUACCGCCGCAAGGGACGUCGCUGAUGGCUUACACUGGAAGACGAGCUGUAUCACUGAAGGGAAGGACAUCCGUGUGCAAAUUGCUACAAGGGGACCGAGGCUGGGUGCCAUGCAAAACCAGAAACAAUGUUGCCCGAAGGAGCAAGGCCAUGAGAGGGAAAUGCCAGACCGGCAGCAGAGCCGCGUGCAGCCAAGCGAUUGCGCUGCUAUUGAAGGAAAAACUGACUGCAGUUAGAGAAUUCAUGGACUAACAUAUAUUUGCUGUCUGCGUUAUUUGACUUUUACGAUUACCUGUUGUCUAUUCUAUUAUGUCAUAUUAAGGAAUGUAAAAAAAUAAUUCAAUUGACCUAGACAACGACGGUCUAAAGGGUGGAUAUACGAAUGGUAGACAUCCCAACCAAAUGUAUAUGAAGUCUUUAUUGACACGACAAAAGUACAGCGACUUUCGUGAGGAUUAUAACAAGUACUUACAAUACAACUAAGCAGACGUAUAUGCAUAUUUACAGAUAUGAAUAAGUCAAUAUAUUAUUUCUAGCAUGCCAUUUACAUAAUUCGAACAUUGCCUGCAAAUUUCUUGAGUUACAAACAGACUUUUACCAAUCUAACGUUUUCGGGAGUUUCUCAACGCUACAAAUACACGUCCGUGCAGCCGUUUACUUUUUGGGUUGGAACUCGGAGUAAUACAUCAAUGGGACCUUACAAGUAUAUUGUGCAUACAAGCUGUAGCAGCCUUUCACUCCGUCACUUACAAGAAGAUACAACACAACGUUUGCUAGAUGUAUUAAUGUAAUGAUGUAUUAUUGUACUAUGAUUGUUAUUCUUAGACAGUUAUUCGUUUGAUGACGUAAACUGCAACAGACCGAGAUGUACAAGUAACCAAUGUUGAGUGAUAUGAGCGGAGUUGAGUAGAUGUCUGUCAGGUAAAACAGAAUACAAAGACGGGAGAUUUCUACGGCAGUUCGGGAGAGCAGACAUUUGUCUGGUACUAAGACAGAAUGUGAAGACAAGAGAGUGUAAGGUAAGAGACUUCAGUUCAGGAGAGACAAUAGAGGACUUCAGUUAAGGCCUGAGUGAGAUAGCAUUAUUAUGAAGUCUGUUAUAACGUUAAA